This 253-nucleotide ribosomal RNA is filed under the name uncultured bacterium. RNAcentral's name for it is "partial 16S ribosomal RNA". It matches the Rfam family "Bacterial small subunit ribosomal RNA", at positions 524 to 776 of the family's 1533-position model. The record is from RNAcentral.
UACGUAGGGUGCGAGCGUUGUCCGGAAUUAUUGGGCGUAAAGGGCUCGUAGACGGUUUGUCGCGUCGGGAGUGAAAACACCGGGCUUAACUCGGUGCUUGCUUUCGAUACGGGCAGACUAGAGGCAUGCAGGGGAGAACGGAAUUCCUGGUGUAGCGGUGAAAUGCGCAGAUAUCAGGAGGAACACCGGUGGCGAAGGCGGGUCUCUGGGCCGUAACUGACGCUGAGGAGCGAAAGCAUGGGGAGCGAACAGG